This 269-nucleotide ribosomal RNA is filed under the name uncultured eukaryote. Its description in RNAcentral is "partial 28S ribosomal RNA". It matches the Rfam family "Eukaryotic large subunit ribosomal RNA", at positions 1 to 266 of the family's 3401-position model. The record is from RNAcentral.
UUGACCUCGGAUCAGGUAGGAGUACCCGCUGAACUUAAGCAUAUCAAUAAGCGGAGGAAAAGAAACCAACAGGGAUUGCCCCAGUAACGGCGAGUGAAGCGGCAAGAGCUCAAAUUUGAAAUCUGGCUCCUUCGGGAGUCCGAGUUGUAAUUUGGAGAGGAUGCUUCGGGUAUGGCCCCUGUCUAAGUGCCCUGAACGGGCCGUCGGAGAGGGUGAGAACCCCGUCUGGGACGGGAGGCCAGGCCCGUGUGAAGCUCCUUCGACGAGUC